Molecule: long non-coding RNA, 27263 nt
Organism: Apis cerana (Asiatic honeybee)
Lineage: Eukaryota; Metazoa; Arthropoda; Insecta; Hymenoptera; Apidae
Source: RefSeq, a predicted model, not a curated record
GUCGCUGGUUUCGAAGUACGCGUAAAGUAUACGGGACACAACGGUGCGAAAUAACGAGCAGUAAACACGCUCGUUUACGUCAUCCGAAUGGAUACGAAACCUGUGUUUGCGCGCACAUAUUGCGCGUCUCAUCGCCCAUCGCGACCGAGUAUUGAUAUCACAGUGCUGAAUUACGUCUUACGAAUCUCACGCGUCGUGCCAUCGUCUUCGAUCGAAUAUUCGAAAUAUACAAUAUCGUGCAAUAUCGGUGUAACUUUUUAACGCGAGAUGUUCUACCGUGAAGUGUUCAAGGAUGGGUGAAUCGCAUUUAUCGCGUGUUUCAAAGAAAACGUGUGUUAUCGCGUGGUAUUUCCAUUUCUGAGGAUACGCUCGAUUCGAGUAACUGACCAAAGAAGUCCCUUGGGCGAGGCCAAUUAUAUAGACAAGAUUAAACUAACGUUGGUCUCUGGUGAAUUCUAAACGACUUACUUGAUUUACACCCGUAAAAUCUCUCUCUCUCUCUUCCUAUAGAGAAGAUCUUACGCGAUGGAUUUCAUCUCGGCGUACCAUCGUACACGUGGAAAGAGGAAUCCAUAUUUCAAUCAUGAUUAGCACAUAUUCGCGUGACCUCCGGACGAAAAAUAAAACAACUCGAUAAACAACUCGCGUCUCCGUGUCUCAACGUUCUCAUCUUUCCUCUAUCCGUUUUUGUGGCGUUGACAGUGAGGCAAGUUUUGUGACAAGAUCAUCGGUGCACGGACGAUACGGAUCGAGUGAAAAAUAUUUGCUUGGUGUCGCGAACUUUUCGUGGGAGAGGAGGAAGGGAGAAUCCACUUCGAUCGAACGUCAAAUCGUAAAUGGAUCAAUUAACAAUGCCGACAUGGUGGAAUGGAGAGGGGGAGUGGGAGGGCAGAGAGGAGGAAUGGUGCGAGCGCGAAAUCGAGUUUCGGGUCGUGGGAGAACAAUCACCGUCUGUCGGUUAGUUUUUCUGCCCGUCACUCUGCAUGGAAGAAAGGAGAGGGGGAAAGGGAGAGGGGAGGGUGGGUGGAAACGUUCGAUUGGAAAAUUUUCCGUACGGAGUAAUAGCGGCGCCGCUACGUUUCGUUAAUUUGGAAAGUCGAGGAAUAGAGAGGGAGAGACAUAGAAGAGUUUUGCUACGUUGCGGGCCGGCACGGCGCUAAUGGCGGAACAAUGGGAGGGAAAAACAGCGGGAUAAAUAGAGAAACGCGCGAGGCUCCCUCCGGUCGACAGAAACUCGAAUAAAUCGAAAAUCGGCGGAGACUUCUUUCCGGUUGGCCGAUUAAUUCGCGUUCCGGUUCGAUUCCUGGAAAAUGUAGCCAUCGUCGAACUAUCAAUAAAUCAACAGUCUCGAACGUCGAUGUCGUCCCGGCUCUAUAUAUAGAGACGUCCCGGGGAUUGACGUCUCAUUAAACGGUCGAAUCAUGGAAAUUCGUGGCGUAUGCGCGCGCGCGAUCAAACGACAAAAAGCGCAUUCCCGCGCCCAUUUCUCGCUACCCAUUGCUUGUAUAUUUAUUCAUCGCGCACGAUUCCCGCUAGAUCUAUACUCGAAAUAUAAGCAACAAGCGUAUUACCGGGAACGAUCACGUUCAUCGAAUCGAAUCGAUUCUAAAAACCGUUAGACAUUCGAUGCGAUCGAUCUUACGCCUCGCCAAUGUUGCACACAUCGUUUGAAUUGUCCAAGCGUCACGAACACGUAUCGAGUGUCGACCGAUCCAAAUUCAAUUAUCGACUCCUUGGAAAUAAUCUUAUCCAUCGAUCCACCGAUCCAAGUCGACGAGGAUAGAAACUAUUGUUCCUAUUCUGUUGGGAGGGGGUAACCGCGCGCAUUCCGAACAAAAUUCUCGUUCCAACUCGUUCGUGAACGCGAAUAUCUCGCGAAUGUAACGGGCAUAAUGAGCCAAAUGGCGUCCCCCGGAACGUUUCGCUCGUCUCACCAACCGCAAUUACGCGGUUCGCGUUCAGACUCGCGUUCGAGGAAACACCGCCAACGGCAGCUUAAUCAUGGAAAUGACGGAGCAUCGCGCUUUCGGAUCUAUUAGUAACUCCGGCAAAACGUCCGGAGGCGUGUCACUGAUAAACUCGUCAAAUCGAGGAGGACAACGCUCGACCGCCGCCCGUUAUCAACGAUCGUCGCACGUCGACGUUCCAAUUCGAUCUCCUCUUCCCAUUCCUUGCCAUUCAUUCUUGAUCGUCCUUUCCAAGUUGAAAAAGAAAAUGAAAAAUCCCUUCCUCGAAGACAAGACUUUCUUUGCUCUUUCUUUCGCGAUGAUAUCCCGCAGAUUAGAUUAAUAGAUAUUAAUUUUACAGACGUUGAUCAAAGGUGAGAGAUGAAAGGUGACGCCCACGAUACUGCGUAUUUGUGUAGAUUUUGUAAACGCAGGAAUUGUGUCAGUUUCAGAGAUGGUUCUUCGCCCAUUAUCGCGUUGGAUCAAUCCAUCACGAAAGCGUCUAGGCUGCAUCGGCAUAGGUGCAUGAUCGAACAUGGCAGCCCCUCGUCUCUCUCCGAGCGAAUUGUUAACAUGACGCGCGCGAGUAGUAUUGCCAGCCGGCAUGCAGGGACGACGAUGUCUCGUUUCUCCCGAAUUUCCAACGGCGACGACGAGGAUGUCGUAAGAGUAUAUAAUCUUCCGCCUUGAGACGCUUGAGACUUUUCUCCGGAUUUCUCGUCGCAGAUGUUGCGCCGCGAAUGAUUUUUGCGCGGCGAGAAAAGGGGAGGGGAGAGGGUUGGAGGGAGCGUAGCCCGUUAAGGGGUGAGGGAGGGGUGGUUUUACGGAUAUUUCUGACGAUGCACACGUCAGGCCGUAGCCAAUGUCGCGUUUUUCAUUUUUCUCGAAUAUGCCGUGAAUAAAGCGCCACGCAGGGGAAUACGUUGUUUCAGCCGGCGAAACGAAGAGAUUGAAGUCGCGCGCGCCUUAGAUCCUACGACAGAAAUCCGGCCGGAAAAAAGGCUUGGCGAAAAUUCUUUCCCCGUUUUCCCCUCCAUCCUCCCCUAUCCGAAAUUGAAAUACCAUCGGGAGCGUUAUUAACGCGGGACGCGUGUAAUCGUUCGUCUGAUCGUGGCGAAACGAUCCUUUCUUCGCGUCGAGGAUAACGUUCUUAGAUUGGAAUCGUUUCGCGCGUGUGAUAAAAAGAUUCGAUAGAUAGGGAAGAUUCGUUCCUUCCCUCGAAGAGAAGAGAAACAAAGAAGGAUCGUCUUUCGAUGGGAAAUUUCCGUUCGGUAUUUUAUUCCGUAUCGUACGUUUUUUUUUAUUUUUUCUUUUUUCGUCGAGUGAUAUAAUAAACAGUGGAUAUUGAUUAUUCCGUAAUGCAAUAUACAAUUGUUGUUAAUAAUAUCGAAGAACAUAUUCAAUGUUUGGUGAAAUUAAUCAUAUUGCUGAUUGAAAUUGUAUAUAUUUCAAUUGGGUCUAAAUCCGCAAAUAAAAUUGUAUAAAUAAGAGAGUGAAAUUUAGCAACGGAUAGUUAUUUUCUAAUAACGAGGGGUCAUAAAUUCACCGAAAAUUCUACGUUCAAUGGAGUAUAAAAAAAAAAAAUAAAAUAAAAUAAAAAUAAAAAAAAGAAGAGUCGGAAUAAAUGAAUAAAUAAAUAAAAUGGAAUCAACGGAACAAUGGGUGAAUCAAGACUCGGUAAACAUGUUUUAAUUUCCUCGCAGUUUAAACGCGCGUGUAUCGUUACAACGAUUGUUUGCCUCGAAUCAAAUGAAUUCAAAGCCCCCUGCAGCCAUGAAACCAUGUCACCGGUGAUCUUCCCUCUUAAAAUUUUCCCACCCUACUGUCUAGAUUAAAUUUUUCAACCAUAUUCGAAAAUAGAAAGCUUCGAUAACGGGAAUGGGAAUAACGAAAUCCCAUUCCCUCAUUUUCCAUUAUACAACAUACGAUUGCCUCGCUUCAAGGAAUCAAAUUACGAUAUAAUUGCUACAUUCGCAAUCGGGUCGUCCACCUCGGGAGGCGCCAUAUUUGAGCAUAAUCGAACAGGAAUAGCACCCAGCCUAAUACGUUGGAAAUAUCUCGCCUCGAUCGAAUCGGAAAGGAAACGCGUGCGGUCUUGAAUUAGCUUAUAUCUCUGCCGCCGCGUAAAAUAAUACAAAGUAAAUCGAUUGAUAGGGAACGCGUUGCACGCGACUUGUCAGGCGGUCGAAUUUUCAGGGCGGGCGGUUAACCAAUUUCCAGGAUCGAGCGGAUGGAUACACUCGCGACUAUUCCCGAAUAUCGAUUUGAAACGACGAUCGAUCGACAAUCGCGACCCUUCUCCUUUUGCAGCGAGGGAAGAGGAGAGACGCGGCGAAGCGGAGAAGAGAAAGAGAAAGAGAAUAACAAACAUACACGCGCGCGCGUAAUUAAAUGGCCGGAGCUGAUUCUCCUUUUUUUUUUUUUCGUUUCUCCGCUUAUUUCUUUUUCCUCGCGUUUUAUUUGUCCACCCACCCACUUUGUCCUUCCGCUCGGGCGCCCCUUUUUUUCGCCGGCCAGUCACGUCGCCGUGGCGGAAACGCAUUAUGGGCGCAGAGAGUAAUUGCGAGGCGGGCAGAUCGUGCCCGCGGAUAAUUCGGUCAAUUUGGAUUUUUCUUUUUCUCUCUCUCUUCAACAGUGUCAUGCAAAUGGGCGGACGGAAGGGAGGCCAUUUAAUAAACACACGGGAUACACACGCGACGCAUGACAAAUUGAUUCGAUCGGCGGUGGACGGAGAACGAACGAAGCGAAUCAGAACGUUGCGGGCGGUUGUAGGCGGAGGAGGCGAAGUAGGUGCAGAUAAAAAAUAGUAAUUCGCUGGACGGAUGCAUCGCGUGCCACGAUUCGAAACGCGUAUUCCUCGACGACGCGUCGUGAAACGGCUCGCCGUUUAUCGAGCAAGAUAUUUCGAGAGCUUUUUAUCACGAACGCCGUCAAAUUUUACUAAUGUUGAUAAAUCCUCGGACCACGCGCUCGUGGAAGAAGCCAUCCUGCUUCGAGACGAGAGGAAGGCGCUUUCCUCGGAACCGAUAACGCGCGCGGAAUAUCGAUCCGUUCAAUCGAUACGAUGUUCCCCGACAAUCCGCUCAACUGAGUUACGACACGCGCGGUCCUACUACUACCUUGUUUUGCUUAACAACGUUUACCGCGUUAUAACCCGAAUAUAACGACUACUAAAUACACUCUUCCGCUUAUACGUGCGCGCCAUCCUGUCCACUAAUAGUUUCCAACUUUACUACCUUCCACGCGUUGUUAAUAUUUAAGGGAUAGUUACCCCAUUGCCGGGCGAAUCGAGCGAAUCAAGAUUGAGGAGGGGAGGGAGGGGGGAAGAGAGGAAGAAGAAGGGUUUUUAUUCGCCUAAGGGUAGUCGAGGGAAAGCGGUGAACGCUUGAAAUCUUGAUUUUCGUUGUAUUUCGUUUUUUUCUUUCUUUUCCUUUCUUUCCCGUGUAGGCAAUUUAAAUCAAUUUUAAACAUCAACGGUAAAUGGAGGCCCUUUCUCUUCGCUUCGUUUCUCCUCAAAUAUUUAACUUUGAUAUUAUCUUCGGCUUAGCCUUAUAAUUUCCUUCGCGUUCGCGUGGCUGACAACGGCGGUACGCACGUAUUAUUACUCGGAAACGUGGUUAAAGUUUCGUCGAUAAGUGAGACGAGAGCGAAAAGGGAAAAAGAAAAAAAGAAAGUGGUUGGAGAAACAAAUAAAUACAACGUAUAAUGUUUGCUCGCGGUGAAUUCGUAAUUAACGAAAUAUCAUCGCGUAUACGUGAUGAAGAAUCGGAAAAGGUGUGCGGCAAAGUAAAUACGAAAGCUUAAAUUACCGCGUCACCGAUUAACGUGCGUAUCGAUUAAUAUAAUAUGCAUUAUAUUAAUAAUCCAAUUCCAAACAAAUCGAGAAACCACGGAUCGAUAAAUCCGUGAUUACGAUUUAAAACCUACUCCCCCCCUGCACACGCGUAUCGAUCUCGAAAUAUAAAGUCGUAUGAUUGUCGCCAUGCCGUUGCACGCGGUCCCUCGAUUAACCCUCUAAUCGCCUUUCUCCGACUCGUCCGUAACGCGAAUCGGCGAUAACCCGUUCUUAUCGCGUGGUUCGACCUUCGAAAAUGUGUCGCGUGUCACUUUCCUUCUCGACGAGCGAAACACGUGAGAGGUUUCGCUAUGAUAAUCGCGCAACACGUCACGUGCGUGACAACACCGACCGCCUCUCUGACUCACCCCUCCACCCUCGCUCGCUCUCACCCCUCCCCUGCCUCCUCGUUCCGUCUGGGACGAGAGCCACCACCAUCUACGCGGAGGCGUAAGUGAUUACACCCGGUCUCGCGUUCGGUGUCCGCAAACUCGCCUCCUUCUGUCGGCCUCCAUUAUCCAACGUGUACACACGUUGUGGAUAAUGAGUCAUAACGGGGGGAUGCGUGCCCGGCGAGAACGGGGGAUGCCGGAUCCAUUUCGUAGGAAUUCGUAGUUAGCUACGAACGAAAUACGGAAUCGAAAGAAAAGGCGAGUGAUAUCUCGAGCAAACACCGCUCGAUGGGGGUUUGUUGGGAGAUAGAGCGAAAAUUAGAAAUUUUCGAAAGGAAUUGUUAUUACGUGCGUGGUAUGAAUGGAGAAAGAAUCGUGGAAAGUUUCUGAAAAGAAAAAAAAAGGAAAAUUAUCGUUCGUAAAAAAAUUAAUAGGCACGAGCUCGUUCCUUUUUGUUUCGUUGAUCGCGUGUAAUAAAAUAUCGCGUGGAUCAACGAUCGAAUUCAACUGAUUUUGUAAUACGUUCGCCCAGCUAAUCAGAGGCUAUAGCUUUUAAACGCCGUUUCCCGUGCUAUUUGCCCCGGGUUAUUAAUUUGGAUUAUAAACCGAAUGCUUUCGAAAAUCCGCAAAAUGUAAUUUCGAACGUGCUCGCGUUCGACGUUGAUGCUUUUUCGGAUCACGAGAUUCCAUCGGAACGUUUCCAUUAAUUAACGGGGCUAACUAGACAUCAACCGAGAUCAAGGUUGAAAAAAAUAGAAAAAUAAAUAAAUAAAUAAAAAAAUGUAAAACGAAAUUAAUACGAAUACUCGACGCAACCCUCUCGUAACGAUCCCGCAUUUUUCUACCUUUUUUUUUCCUUUUCUUUUUUUUCUCUUUUUUCUUUUUUUUUUGCGCCGAUAGUUUUUUUCACCCUCGUCGAGCUUUUAACGAUCGGGAGUAGCGUAAUUAUUGGUCGGUCUUUUUGCCGAAACUUCGUGUACGAGACUCUCUCGACGAAUUAACGUCGGGCGCGGUGGCGACGAAAUCGUGACUCACGCCGAGGGUGAGUGUUCCUCAUCGAACGCUGUAUUUUUGCCCGCCGCUUGUAUUAACGAUACUCUCUACUCCAUGGUUGAGUCAUUCAACCGCAUCGGCCACGCGAAAACAAGCGUGGAACGAUGACAACGGAUCGAACAAUGAGCGUAUUUCGCGAUUCGAAAGUUGGAACGGAACGCUUUGUAUUCACGUGCAAACGCGCGUGUACGAAGUUUGUACGAAAAUGGAGCGUAAAAAAAGCUGAAACGCGACGCGCCAUUUUCCCCUGGUGGUUUUAGGUCACCAGCCGGAAUUCUGAUUAUUCAAACUAACGGAAAUUUAUAAUAUACGAAAGAACGAUCGUAUUGCUCAAAUUACGAAUGACGAAUAUUCUCGCGAAUAUAACGCGACGGGGUAGUAGUAUUUUUCUUCCUUUUUUUUCUUUUCUCUCUCUCUCUCUCCUCAGAGAGAAGAGAAUUCUCCUUCCUUCGUUUCCUCUCCGUUCAGAAGCGACACGUUAAUAAACCGGCCACUAAUUUUGCAUCUCCAUUUGCUUAAAUUACAAACCGUUAAUUUUCCAAUUUAAUUUUCAUUUAUUUCAACUACACUUCAUCGCUCGCCAAUCAGUAUAUUACUCCGCAUUUUAUUUCCAUUAUUAAAAUCCUCCCGGGAAGGGAUUUUUGUUGUACGAGCCAAUCGAUAAAUUUAUAACGAUAUAUAACCGUUUCGAUAUAUCUAAUUGUUUCGAAUUAACUUUGGGACAAAUUUUCGCGAAAGAAGUUUUAAUCUCGAAAAAAAAAAAGAAAGAAAGGAAUAAUAAUCUCUCCGUGAAAUCGCAUGCGAUCCAAUUGCAAAGCGGAUAGGCCGAUGUAGGUUUAAUUACCAUCCACCACGAUGUUCCGCAUGGCUCGAGCCCGGUUUAAAUCGAACAAAGCUAAAAUGGAUAAUGAGGGUAAUUAAACGAAUUCAACUGGUCCCGUCUGUUGGUCGUUCUUCCUUGAACGAACCGCGAGGGUUCCAAUGCCCGAGUAAAGCUUCGAAGGAACGAAGUUUCUCGUUUCUUCUUCAUCUCUCUCUCUCUCUCCUCGUCACUCUGCCUCCGCUGUUUUUUUCCAGACUUGCUUUUUUUUUUCGCUUGACGCCCGUGACUCCUCGUCUCCUUCCUCCGGUUCGAGGACUCAUUACACGGCGUCUUCGAUAAUUAAUCCAUCUUAGUCGAAGCCGUGUUCUCACGUUCAUCGUUCGAGGUUAAGCGAAAGGAAGAGAGAGAGAAAGAGACAGAGAGAGAGAGAGAGAGAGUGAGGGGAAAAAAAGGAAAAAAGGGAGGGAGGGAAAAAAAGGACAAAUAAUCUAACGAAGCAAUUUAACUUCUUAAUUGACACGGUAUAGAGGUGAUUAAAUAUACACGCAUUGUAUCAAAGUUAAAGCAUAAAGUGUCCGGGAUCUUUCAAUUUCCCUACAAAAUUUCCAUGAAAGACGAGAUCGAACGAAACACGCCUCUUACGCAGAUACGAUAUUUACAUAUAUUUAUACAUCUUUCCUUCUCCCUCAUUCCUGCUACCUCAUUCGCGUCGAUAUCAUUUAAACAGAUCCACCCUUUCUCCCUUCCCCGCAAAUCCAACCCCUCGAUAGCUUUCCCCGAUGCUCGUUUACCUUCACUCGUCGCUAGUCGUCCAAUUUUCCUCCUCCACCUCGACGAUCGACGUUUUUUCAAAACGACAUCGAAAUUACACCUCUCCCUCUCCCCUCCUUCCUUCGUAUGGAUCGGGUUUGAAUUUCAAUCCGCCGUCACGUGGCGCGGGGAGAGAUUAAUAGUCGUCGAGAAUUAGAACCACCUCGAGAUUCUUGAACCCGCUGGAAAAAUGUUCGCGUUGCUUGUCAACGUUUGAACGUUGUGUCGUUAACGUUCACGUCGUAUUCCUUAUUUCCAACGAAAACUAUUUCGAGAACUAUUAGCAACGAAUAAAUAGCAACUAUCAACUCGUACAAAAGAAAAAAACGUAACGAUCGUUUAUCGUUCGAUCAAUCGAGACUGUAACGAUUAAUUAAAUAUCCAGAGAGAACGACGACAAACGCGCGAGUAAUUGUAAUUUUGAUUUAAUACCCCGUAACAUUUUCACCCCGCCUUCUCGUUACGUUUAACGAGUCACCGCGUGGUGCUCGCCAACCCAUUUCCACGCGCAUCAUCAAUAGCCAAGAAUAAUCGAGACGGAGAAGACACUGUGCGGAUAGAAUAGGCGUGAAAAAGCGGGAGGGGAGAGGAGGCAGGCGCGAAGGUGAAAAAUUGAAGCGGGAGGCUCGGCCAAUUAGACGGAACCGAUCGUCGGGUAAACCGAGGCACGCGGCUCGAGCCGAAUCGGAGCAACGUCGAGCGACCACCUCAUCAGGUUGAUCCUGUUGGACAACUUUCCAGUUAAUCUUCGACGACGACGAGCUCUAUCCAUCUAAAACCAGCCUGGUAUCGAGAAGGUAUUCCGUCCCUCGUAACAACACGGGGACGAAACGACACCAUUCCCCUCCCCGUGUUUUUCAAACUCUUGUUUCAACCCGCGAAGGGAAAACUUCGAUGCGAAUCGAAUCUCGCGGUCUUAUAUUUAUAUUUAUUCGAUUUUAUUCCGUGGCAAGGGUUGAGCCGUUAAUUAGAGCGACGAUGAUUUAUCAUCGCGAGGCAUGGAUGCACUCGAAAUCACCAGAAAUAGGUUUCCUUUCGACAGCCGCGCUUUCCAUCCGCUCUUCCCCUCCCCGUCGCUCUUUUCCUCUCCCUGUCCACCAUCCUGGUCUGCCUAUUCCAUCGUUGAUCAGCCCGAUGAAUAAUUUCCGAGUUGGCCGUGUCGCGCGAGCUACACACGCGCGCGGAUGUAUAGAUUGGAGGGAUACUAGGAUCCACUCGCGAAACCACGAGCGGGAGCCACCUUAUCGAGUUGGCCGAAGCUGACCGGCCAGCGAUUCUCCCCCUCCCUCUCCUCCCCAGGUGCGGGAACCGAGUUAUCGUUACACCUGAGACGUAAGUUAGCUCGUUGCCGGUACGCCGCCGCGAGAAUUAAGCAAAUUAUAUUGCGGCCGGGACAGACGCGGUUGGAUAGUUUGGAGGUGGUGGUUAUAUAGGGAACUGUACGGAGGCGAGUGCGGAGAGGGUGAGGGGCGAGAGGAGAAAGAGAGAGAGAGAGAGAGAGAGCGAAAAGCCGGGGUAUACGAUUCCGUAAAUCGAUAAUUGAUAUCGAACGUAGUCAGGGAACGUAGCAGCUUCGAGUUGGCUUCUAUCGCGGUCGGAUUAAUGGAGGGGAGAAGAGGAGAAGGGGAGUUUAACGUAGGCGCGAUGCCUCGGUAACGAUAAUUACGCAAAUAUUUUCGAAUUAUCGCUCGAAUUAUUUCCCUCUGACCCGCCGUUUAAUAACAGCGCCGACGAGACACCGGGGAUGGGAUAAAUUAAUCCCGACGCGUAUCCUUUCCGACAUCGACACCGUAAUCGACGAAAUGACAAAUACGGUUCUGGAUACCUGGCCCCCUGUCGACGAGAUGUCGAAGGAUAGGAUGUAGGGCGGAAGACGUAGACACGUACCGUACGUGAAAUAAUGGGUGGAGCGAUAAUAUCGGGGGAAGAGCGUUCGACGAGCUGGAUCUUUCAACUUGUUUUUCAAACGGGAAACGCGACCGGCUCCUACAUUCGCCACCGUUUGUUCCACGGAGAUGUGUAUUCACGGGAUCCAGGCCCCUGUUUCCUUUCCGUGUUUCGAUUCGCUUCACGUCUUUCGCGGCGCGGCGUUGCGACACGGAACGCUGGGACAAUAAAACGUGGGACGACGACAGUCACCGUCUUCGGAGAACGAAAAAAGGCGGAUAAAUAUACAGAGUGUAUAAAAUAGGCCGCGUCGGUAGUAGCGCGUCGCCACCAGGAGGCGCAUUAAGGGAGGGAAAAAAGGAAAGAAAAGAGGGGAAAGAAUGAAAGAAAGGAAGAAAAGAAGGGAAGAAAGGAGGAAAGGAAGCGGAGAGAAGAGAAAAGAAGAAAGAAAAAAAGACGGGAGUACAGAAGGGAGGUGGGAGGAUGGGAAUGGGGGAGGGCGAGCGGUGAUGGUGGAUGGCGUAGAACUGACAGGACCGGCACUCUGUAUGGAGCCGGGGCUCACCCUGUUGGACCAUUACCCUUUUUAUUAUUUUCUGACUAAAACAAAGGGAGCCCUUUUGCCCGGCCCGGUUAGUUGACCGACUUGCACCAGAAAACUUGAGCCUCGAGAUUAAUUGCGUCCUCUCCCUUCUUCUUUUCGCUUUCUCGCUCCUUCUACCUUCUAUUCCUCCCUUCUAUUUCGUCGCGCCCUUGCCCCUUCCCCUGCUCAGGGAUCCCACUUCUCUCGAUCCUUCUCGCCUUCUCUCUUACCGACCAAAGUCCUUGAGAAAGUUGGCGACUCGAGUCGACUCGAGUCGAGUCGAGGGGACGGAAGAGCGAGAAAGCGAGAGGAUGGAAGAGGAAAAAGGAUCGAGUGGAGAAUGCCGAAGGGGGGAGGGAAAGGGGUGAAAAUCCCUAGUCGUUCCGGAUGGAGUUUCGAGCGGAUGGAACGCUUCGAUUUUAUCAACGAAUCCAACCGAGGACGAAUCCGCGAUGGUUUAUCGUUUCUCGUUCUUCGAUCCUUUUUCUUUUUCUUUUUUUUCUUUUCUUCUUUUUCUUCUCGAUCGUCGCACCGUCACCUAUUUACGACGCGCCACGCGCCCUCGUCGACAUCCCGCCCUCCCCCUCGAUCGGCUUAAAAAUCAUUAUCGCGAGACGAUCUCGUGGGAAGGGAGGGCUCGAGAAACGAGAGGUAAAUAUUUGGACGGAUUUAAUCGCGGGUCGUUUAAAAGCCAGAGGCGCGAGCCACCCGUUCAUCGAGCUUGUUUGUCGAGUGAAACCUCAGAAGGCGAUAAAAUCGAUCGGCGUCCCCUUCCCUUUAUUCCUCGCUCGACUCUCGACGAAACUACGAAGGAUUCACGCGAAAUCAAAAUCCUCGCGAUGAAAAAGUCAAGCAUCCACGCUUUUUCAUGUUUCGCGCAUUGCGAGAAGAUCGAUAGAGAUCGUGGAGUGCGCGCCACGGCAAUUUAUUUCACUUUGUAUUUCAAAGUGUAAUAAACAGCACGGCCCGCUCGCAUACGCCCACGUACGCCCACCCUGGAUAAAGUCGUUUCCACCCCGACCUUCGAGUAUUUUAUUCUCCCAGUUUCCUCGUUUUCAUUUCGCGCUCAGCCACAUUUGAUACGUACCACGUAGUAGUUGACGGUUCCAUUAUUACGCUUCCUACCAUUCUCUUCCCCCUUCCCUCCCAUUUCUUCUCCCACCCUCUAUCUCAUUUUUUCCAUUCACCGUUACGGAGAGAGAGGGAGAGGGGAGAGAGAAUAUCUUUUUUCGCGCAUCGUUUAACGGUAACAGCGACUACGACGCGCUAAGAGAAUUCUUUUAACGCAAUCGCCUCUUCCCCCCCUCCUCUCUCGUAAAAACAAUUCCAAGCUUUAUCGAGAUGCCAUUAGAAUUUCUCUCUCUCUGUCGAUCGCGCAUAUCGACGCGUCGUAAUAUCGUGCAUCGCGAAAGUCGCGCGAAAGAGAAAUCCUGGAGGUUCGCUCCUCGGGCCAAUAAUUUUCGACCGAGAGAAAUUCCUCUUCUCUCGAAGAUAAGAUGGAAUAAGUGGAAUGAGUUGGGGGUGGGUUGAAGAUGGGACGGAAAGACGAAGGGCACAGGGCGUGGGGCAUUGCUGGUUACAGAAGAAGAAGCGCAUCGAGCGUGGAAAAGAGUUGGUGAAGAGUUCACUCGCGAAACUGGUUGGUCUGGCGCUCGAGAAUUCAUUUCCUGCAGUUGUCGUUCGACGUUACGGCGAGAAAACGUUCCGUGGAUGGCGAUGGCCUCGGCGAGGGUCUGGGGGAAUUAUUUUCGGGCUCGGGUUAUUCAAGAGCGCGGAGGAAACAAGACGAAAGGGGGAGGAGGAGGAGGAGGAGGAGGAGGAUGGGGAGGUCGCGGAAACGAAAGUAACGAGCUUCCGCGGCAAAUUUUUUCUGCCAGCCUGUCACAGAGAAACCGUCUACGCUGCGAUUUCGUCGUGGUGGCACGCGACCACGCUCAAUCGUUUUCUCGCGCGCCCUUUUCAAACUCUACGUAUCAAAGCGGUGCCUUCCCUUCGGCGAGUGUUAAUUUCAUUCCCUUGAACACGCGUUCUUUCCUUUCUCUCUCCCUCUCUCUCUCUCUCUUCUUUCCUUGUUGCGUGAAUUCGAGAUCGCGUUCCCCGCGACUCGUGGAAUUUUCAAUUUGAAGAGAAUCGCAUUGCGCAUACUUUACGAUACGAUGCUUUUGAUUGACGGAUUAGUGGCUGCGCCGUGAAAGGGAGGAAGUAGAAAAGAUGAGGGAAAGGUAAAAAAAAAAGGGAUGAUCGUUCGAAGAGAAAUGAAUUUCCUCUUUCGACAUUAAUUCUUUCCUACUGAGCAAGGAUUGUACAAGUAUGAUUCGACGAGCAAGCUAGUCGAUCGAAGGUAAGAAAUGUGUAUAAUAAACGUGUUAUUAAGAGGAUAUCUUUCAGGCACAUUCUCGAUUGUUGGAACGAAGGUUGGAACAAAGUUCGAAGGCUAAGUCAACUUGACGAAUUUCUGACACGAGCUAAACUGCCGUUGACGGUAGCUGAACACUAAGAGCACCGCUUUCCGAGAGAGAGAUGAAUAUUAGACUAUUUAAAGGGGAAAGUAUACCUCGAGCGACCGGCUGCUAAGUGAACGAGACAGACUUUAGGCACGGAUUUCAAGCCUUCAAAAUAGAAACUAAGCCGAUGAAGCUAUGCUGCUAUUUAGAAGCGAGCAACCGAGAAAAAAAAAAGCAAAAACGUCAUGCGUUCGAGGAAAUGAUAGACGCAAGAUAAAAUUAUCCAUUAAUUUCUCUUCUUAGAGUUAAGAAAAUGUGCAAUUAAAAAUGUUUUAAAAAAACGUACGAUCGCAAAAAACUAGGAAGCCUCGUGUAUUUUUUUAACGAUUUAAAAUCAUAUCUUGUUAUUAAUCUUGGAUGCCACAAAGGAGACGAUGAAAACUUGGAACGAUAGGAUAUUUUAACCAGUAGAAGUACACAGUUGGGCAUUAAUUCGUUGAAAAAGUAAUUAAUCAUUAAAAUAAUAUUUAUUCGUGGCUAUUAAACGAUAAAUUAUUGCAGCAAUUUAUUGAAAAAUAAGUUUAAUUCGUAAGUUCAAAUUUGAAGCCAACAUCGCUGACAAUGGCGAAGAAAAAAAGAUAUCGAUAUAUCAAGUCGAAAGAUCUGGCUCGAUGGUAGAUACGAGGGUAAUAAAAGUACUAAUAAAGCUAAUAGUGUAACCAGCGUUUCAGCUCUGUUUCGCUCGAUCGUACUGGAACUGGAGGGCAACGGUCGAUGCAAAAACUGGCACGAAACAGCUUGCUCUUCAUGGCACAGGCACUUGCCAGCAGGGCUGCGCAUUCAUUCUCGUGUGGCCGGACAUCUACUAGAUGUUCCGUUAAAAUAUCAAGCAGUUCCCGGCUGCAAUAUUGCGCCGUUAUUUUCACGCGAGUAUAAUAUUUCGUUGACGUUUUCUCGCUGCUUUCCACUACAAAAGCCCUCCUCCUCCACCUCCUCUUCCCUCCCUCGCCAAGGAUUUCCUUUUCCACGCCUCCAACUCGACCUCUCUGAGAUCCCUUCCAAAUAAUAUUAUCCGUGUAUGGACGAAAGAUUAAAGGUAUCAUAGAGAAUGAAUUUCUUCCCUUCGUAGAUAGAAAAUAGAAAGGAAUCGAAAAGUCGAAUUUACGAAAGCCGCGAGUGCAGAAAAAUAUAUAAUAUAAAUAUAUAUAUAUAUAUAUGUAUGUAGGCGUUAUACGAGGAAACGAAGGUUCUCGUGGAGAGAAAUGGAAGCGAAAAAUCGGUAUCAAAGGCGGCUCAUCGCGCCGAUUCCGUUUUCCGUUCAUUUGUUCCACUUUUCUCUUCCUCUCUUUCUCACUCAUUCUCUCAAUCUCCAUUCUGCUUGGCAGCUGAAACGAAAUAAAACGCGAGAGGUUCGAAGAGGGAGGGGGGAGGCGGAGGGGGUGGUUAAAAUUUAAACCGGUGUUCCGGAUCGCGGCGAGAGGCCGACGAAUUCAUUUGCACGAGGCGCCUACUAGUUGCAUCGUUGAAAUAUUAAACUGGCCUCCGUGUCGAUGGGGGAAAUAAUAUCGUGCUUAUAUUUCACCCUGUGUGUCUACGAGCCUCGCUCCGCUGACGUUUACGCGAUACGUCAUUUAUACGACCUAGAAUUUCGGUAAAAUAAAAUAAACGGGAGAAAGGAGAGAGAGAGAGAGAGAGAGAGGGCUAAAAUAAAGAGGUAAAGUGGAAAAAAAAGACAGAAGGGAGAGAGAGAAAAUGGGCAAAUUUAUGUAGAAGCGGAGGGUUUAAUGUAAAUAAAUCGAAUACGGGUGAAAGGUGAAGGCUCGUGAGCCACGCUCGCAACGAAUGGUUGUCGCGUAUUCAUUUUCAUGAAAGCGGAUGUCUAGCGGGUUUGCCGGCCCGUUAAAAUUUCUGCCCGCCUUCUCUCUAUACCCUGUUCGCGCUAACUUACUUUCAAAGGUAGCACCGAGCUAACCGUGUCAUCAAACUUUCCCGCUUUUUCAUUUCGCCCUUCCCUUUCCCUCUCCCUUCUCCCUCUCCCCCCCUCUAUUUAUCGCGACCGCUUGAAAGUUGCACGGUGAAAUAUUUGCCACGGUAACAAAGAGUAAUUGCUAGAUAAAGUCGCCGGCGCGAAAUUCCUAAUCAACGGGGAUAAAUCAAGGAGGGAAGGGCAUUAAACCCCGUUCCGGAAUUACUCCAACGUCCCUCUCCUUCCCGCCAAUUUAUUCCCGUCAAAUUACAAUAUCGUUUGCAAAUAGACCCGGGACGGGAGAAAACGCGUGAGUAUGAAACACGUUCGGGGAGAUGUGUAUCACGGACACAUACUUUAUUAACCUCGGAAAACGUGGACGGGCGCAUACGUUCGUCGCAUCGAGCGGCGCGGAAAAAGGAUUAAAAGGAGGAUACAAAUACGUAAUAAAUCUAUCGCGAGAACGCGGGGGAUUCGAUACAUCCGGCUCUGAUUAACCUGUCGUUAACGAACGAACAGUGUGGAAAGGGCGUAGGCCGAAAACAAAGUUCUUUGGCCCUGCGCGUGAAUAUUAAAAACGGAAAGGAAGGAUGCGAUGGCACGCGUGUGAAGGCUCGAAAAGCCGAGUUUCCUUUGAAACAGGAAAGAGAAGAGGAAAGGUGCAUGGCGGGAUGGUUGGCGGCAGCCAUUGGAUUCGAGGUCCAUAAAAAGCAUUAACACCGCGAGGGCGCUCGAAGAAGAAGAAGAAGCGUGUCCUUGCUUUCUUUAUUGGGAGCAGCUCCUUUUCAACCCGUCGAGUAGCGAGCGGGAGCGUUUUCUUUUGUAAAAUCCUGUACACCGCUUCGAUGGAACGUUUAAGAGCGGAGGGUACGAGCGUGGCACGAGAGAAGGGCGUCAUGUGGUCGUAAGUGGGUGGGGUGCGAGACACAGGGAAGAGAGAGAGAAAGAGGGAGAAGCCUGAAAAAAAGGGAAAAAAAAUGAAUGGUGAUGCACAGAUGCGACGGAUGCGACGACGUUUCUCAGCCAUAAGAUGGACUCCGUGCAGCGUCUGUGUGAACACGUGUGUCCGUUCCGUCCGAGCUUCUUCGAGAGUGCAUGCAUGGGUAGAGACAGUUAAAUGCGACUCCGAUCCGCAUCCGCGCGUAGGUAUCGUUUCAAGUUUGCAUAGGGAUAGGUCUGAGCGUGCACGCCUCGACCCUGAACUUUUAGCCGAACUGCUAUUUUUGGGCGGGGAAACGGUGUGGAGAAACGUCGGGAGGGAAACGGCGGAGAAUUAUGGCCUCGAGUGCGCUUUAGUCUAGCCAACCGUCGAACUUGUUCUUUUCGAAAUUGGCGUCGGCUGAAUAUAAACGGGCAUGAGUUAUUAAAGUCGACUGUGCGAUUUCCCUUCGUGGGAAAUAUUCGACGAGUGAUGGCGGACAAAUUGAAAUCGCAGCACCACGGGGAUGGGAUAUCGAGAGAAACGAGUCAACUCGGAUCGUCUCUCUUUGGCGACCGGACGUUUGUCUUCUUCUAAAGAUUAUUAAUGAAGAGUGAUCGAGUAAUCGAAUCUUCUCGCGAGAUUUAUCGUCAAAAGUGCAACUAAAUUUGCGAUGCUUGGCCAUUAAUUACAAUCGUCUAUUAAUUAAUGAUAAUGAUAAUUAAACGGUGCAACGACGGCGGUCGCCAAAGAGAGAAAGAUACUAUUAAUUAACGCAAACACGCGUAUCUGGAUAAACGAGUCGCGGACCUUUAUUCUUAUUACGAAGAUACCGAUAAUUGGACCCUAUUGAUGAUUACUCGAUGGAGACUACGGGCGAAGCAAAAACAACUCGUGAUUGAGAUACAUCGAACAAACUCGCGACAAAUCUAUCCUCGAUAAGAUAACGCCUCUUCGUUCCUUCCAUAUUUAAACCCACGAUUAUCGCGGAAUCCCUUAAUCAACUCGGUUUUGUCAUCAGAGAAUGGUUAAAAUGAACUACGACAAGAUAAAAUUAAAGAAAUUUGAAAUUUUUAUUACGAAAAUCGAAAUUUUUAGUAUGCAGAUUCAAAAGGUAUGAAAUCUCUGCUCAAUGAUUCAUCGGUGAUCUCAAAAAUAAUAUCGACGACGAACCAUCUUUCGCGUACGAUAAUUUCCAUGACGAAGAAAUCUAUUUCUAUUCCAUCGAUCAAUGACGUAAAUACUCCGAUCCUUCAAAAUCGUUAUCGUAUUAGAAAAAUGGAAUUAGACCACGGUGCCCGAACGGCGGCAGUGCUUUCAUCUUGUGUACGAUUAUUGGAAAAUUCGAAACGCGUGAUUUUUUACCGUUAAGGCGGUCUUGGAACAGCUCUUACUUUUCCGCCACACCCAACGCUUCAUUACAGCGUGUAAUUAAAAACCGGCAAGGGUAAAGUAGCUAACGCGUCGCUUCCUCAAUCAUGAUAAUAACCCGGCCAACAAAAGCUUGCAUUAUUUCGCCAUUAAACAGCCCGCGCAAUAUUCCGUCCGGUUAAAUGUCCGCGAAUUCUUUCCGCCCCGGCGAUAAUGUUUCUCGAUAAUUAAUCUUGGCGCCCUCCCAAAUUCCUUGGCCUCUCUAAUUUUUAACCAACAAUUCCCCGCGAUCACGUCACCCGCCCUUUCUCUCCUUUAUGGCGACUAAUUUGCCUGGAAACACCAGCCGAUGUGGGUACGUAGCCUUUCGAAAAAUUACUCUCUCCUGUUCUUAUUAAUAAUAAUAGCUCCGCGCAUCGAAAGAAAUAAUAAUAAUAAUUCGAGAAACGAUUUUGAAUAUAAUGGUAAGUGGCACAGAAAAAAGUUAAUCCAGACAAAUUUGUUUCGGACAAAUUCAUCGAGGAAAAUAAUUAGCUUACGAAUAUUACAGUUUGGCUCGAUUGGUUUUUCGUUCCGCCAUUUAGUUUCCAGCCAAUUAUCGGACAUUCGUAUUUUUCACCGAUAUCUAGAGAGAAAUUAGCCUGUCGCGCGACUGUCGACGACGAGAAGGAGAAGGAGAACGCAACAAGAACGUAACACCACAUAAAUUACCGGGCGCGGAGCAAAUUCAUUUCAAUACAAAGAACACACGUGUGUGUAACAGGGCGGCGAAAGCGGCCGUCGUGUCUCUAUUCGAGUGUGCCACGCGAAGCCAACAUCGCCGAUAAAUCGUCCAUCCUGAAUAAAUCAAUUUUUCCCGGCGGCUUCCGCUCAAUUGGGAACCAGUCCGUUUGCAUUGUUUAACAUGGAGCUCCUCGAUACUCGGCCGUAUCCAUCGUGCGCAGAUAUGGCCGGCUCCUUUACAGGCCCACGCCAGUUUCCAAUAUCGUGUGAAACCGCAGUUGCGUGAGAACCAUUGGUUACCGCUACGAAGCCAAUAUCCGGCCUUCGUAGUUUCGCCCUUCGUGGAAACUGGCCGAGAUUAAAAGUAGUUAGCAUUUAGAUAAGGGCAUUAAACGAGCCGACGACCCCCGGCGCGCGGGGUUGAAAACCCACUCUUCCCUCUCUCUCUCUCUGUCUCAUCGAUUCCUUCGUUUAUCGUCUCGGUGACGAGGACGCAAGAGCGUAGAAGAAAGAUUUUCGAGGGUAACGCGACACCGUCCCGCAGCUGCGUCCUGCUUUUCCACUACUUCGAGCGCCCACGUUUCUACCCCCACAAGAUUGGAAGCCCUUCGAGUCCUUGCUCUCUUGUUUAUCCUGGCACGCAACGCUUGAAAGAAUACGUGAUCGAUGAAACGGAGGAAUAUAGGAGGAUAUAGUCUUAAGGAUCUCUCUUUCUUCCUUAGAAGGGAAGAAAAAACGUGUUAAUUUCGAAACAACGAGAUCGGGUUACGCGUCGUUACGAAAUCGAUAUCCUUCCUCCUUCCUGUCAACCUGUUCACGAUUUCCUCGAAAGCAUUUCCGCGAAAGCGGAGCGGAAGGAUCCAUUUGAACGAGAGUGGCGAGGAGAUGCUUCGCAAGGUGGAAUCUCGCUGCAAGGGAACGCGUCCAAGGAAAGAUAGCGAGCUGGAAAGAUACGUGACGCGGAGUCCGCGCGAAGAAUGUUCAACUCGGUCCGAAUUACGUAACGCGAGUCGCUGCUAGCGACGUGAGUGAAUUUUAACGCAUACCUUUUCGCCCCAAGAGCGCCUUUUUUUUUUCCUUUCUCCCUCGAUCGAGGACGAAAUCAAAGCGAGGUAGAGGGAGGAGGGAGUUAACGUUCGCGGGAAACUUUUAACGAGUAGCUCGAGCAUCGAGGAGGACCGGGGAAUUCGAGCCGGUGGACUCUGGCUAACUUUUCGUCCAUUCUCGUUUCGAUUCUUCUGUGACGCGGCGCGCCAGAGUCUUUUCGCACGAGACGACGCGAAAACUUGUGUCGAGAAAAUUAUAUGCAAAUAGCACGUAGCUGGGGAGAGGUGAAACAGGAUCGACCCGAGGGCAGGUUAAAAAUUAAUAAGGCUCGGUGCGAUGACGCUGCUGGCUGCGAAGGAAGGGAAAGAUCUCGGGAUUGGGCGUGGAUAGAUUGGUGCAAUCUGCUAUUAUAGCGUGUUAACCGAGCACCAUAGGCGCCAUAAUCAAAUUGCACAUCGGCACGAAUUAAUAUUGACGUUGGUAACUGCGUUAUAUUGUCUGUGCGUGUUAACCGCAACUCGAUAAUGCGCGCACCCGAGAAACCGAACUGAUAAGGGGGAGGGGAUAAGCCGGAUGAAUUAGGCCUCUUAAACGCGGCAACGUUUAAGUAUUAUCCUUAUCUCGAGAGGUGGCUCUUCUCCCCUCUCUCUCUCUCUCCCCCUCUCUUUCUUCCUCUCUCGAGCAGGAUUCUUCUCGAAGCGAAACUUAGUAACCUUCGUCUCGUUGGAUUUUUAUUGUGGAACAUGCUCGUCUUUUCUGCUGCAUUCCUUUCGAGAGAAUUGCAAAUUCCUGUUGAGAAUGGGAAAAGAAGAGAAGAUCGAUCGAUCGGCUCCAACUUGUGAUAAUUUCGCAAUUAUUAUUAUCGUAACGAUCGAGUUUAUCGUCGGGUCCGCGCCAGUCGUUUUUAAUUUCGCGGUCGUCGUCUCUCGACUUGGCUUCGAGAAGCUUUAGAAAUUGAUCGUGUGCAUCGUGAUUGGAAACUUUGCACCGAUCGGUUGCAAACCGAUGCCAAUUUCUUCGAUCUACGCCCGAGUUUGCCGAGGCGAGACUCCAACACAGAUUCUCUUCGAAAAGUAUCGAUUUCGCCCGAAACUUUUGCCGUCUGGCCUUCUGGAUUGACAAUGGGCCAGACAUUCGGGGAAUUUCAUUCGAGGCGGGCAGAAGAAGUGGCGUUGAAAGAAUUAUCGGGUUGAUUUAUGAAGAAACACGUGGAGGGAGGGGGUCUCCCCGAUGGGUCGUCUAGGAAAAUGUGUAGCCAGCUGUGUGUGGAUAUCGCCGAGGCGCCAAGAGGAGCAUCGUAUAACGACUUCGAUAUACAUUAAUGUCUCGCUAACUGCAUAUACACGUGCAUUUUCUGCCUCCAUUCUAUUUUUCACUUAUUUUUUUUUGAAACUGCUUCAUUAAACUUUCGUAUUAUUCCGCGAUGAUAAAUAAAAAUCGAUGAUUAAUAGAGAAGAAACGUCUGGGAGGAGUAAUCCGUUGGAUCCGCAAAAUCCAAAAUAGACGUACAUACAGACGACACCACUCGUGUUAAACUUGUAAAACUCCUUCGCACGUUUUACACACUCUUAAAAGAAAAUUCUACGUACGUACGGCACGAUGCUGUUAGAUGUGCAAAUAAGUUCCUUCUCCUUCUUUUCUACUAGAGAUCAUAACUUGUGACCGAAUUCGAAUCACUUUACCGUUCGCGGUGCCAUCCGAAAGAGCGUUCUUUCGUUUCUAGAAAGAGUCGGGAUGAGAGCUCUAAAAGUUUCCAGUGCAACAAUUUCGAGCAAUAUUCGCGUCACUGCUUAUUUUUUGCAUUCCGGCCGAGGAAAUCAGAUGUUGAAGCUACUGAAAUGGUUUCUGCGCCACUGGAAGAGAACGCUGUACCUUGCAGAACGUGCAAAAAGUGAUAGCAAAGAUUCAAAGCUGGAAAUUUUAAUUUGGGAGACGACGAUCGUUCGGGUGCACCGAGAAAGUUGGAUGACGGCGAGUCAGAGGAAUCGCUCCGACUCGAAUAAGAAGAAUUGACAAUCUAUCCUGUACUAAACAAUUGGCUAAUCUUGUACCUGAUUUACGACUAGUAAAAUCUUGAAUUUGGAAAAAAGGAAGAGGAGAGGAAAGAAACGUUCGUUAAGAAUCUCGUAUCGGUAUCCAAUUUUAGAACGCUUAGCUGUAUUAGCAAUUUUGUGGAAAUAGCCGGGCGAGAUCGAUCCCCGAUCGAUAUUUAUUAAAAUAGGGGCGAAGAGGGGAAUUGGGGAGCGGUAUAUAUUAACGCGUAAUAUACGGUUAUCAGUUGGAAUGGUAUUACUGUCGAAAACCGACGGCAUUAUCGUUAUCAAGCAGGCUUUAGUAGGUGUAGGACAAGGUGUAAGGGCAUGCCGAAUGUUGUUUCCGAAAUUAACACUCCACGAAGGGAGCACGUAGCCGCGGCUACACGUUUGCUAUAGACACCGAUUAGUACUAUUCACGUGCAUUCCGCGCCGUAUACACGUGUCUGCUACGAACGUCAUUUCCAUUCAAUCGAGAUUCCAUUUCCCAGCGGGACGGCGCGGGUGUCAACCGACCUUUCGAAACAAAUCUCCUCUCUCUCUCUCUCUCUCUCUCGCGUGUACGCGCCAUUUCGCCGCGCCUCUCAUCUGCCGACCGCGCGCGCCACCGUUGCAAAACGAUCAUCCGAGGAGGCGUCGAUUAUUAACCCUGACAACUUGCCAUAAUGGCCAACGAUUAUGGCCAACCGAUACGCAGCUUCGACGCGUCGUCUAAAUACCUCGAUCGAAAUUUAUUUCUUACCCACGCGUGAAUUUCACCCACGUUCGUGGCUCGAGGAGGGAUUGAGGGAUUCGGAAAUUUGAAUUGGAAGGAGAAUCGGGGAAUAUGUUAGACGAGAUUCUAGUUUAAGAGAGACGUGAAUUGAUUGGGUGUAUUUAAAAGAAAGGAGUGCGAAAGAAUGAGGGGGAUUGAAAAGAACGGGGCGGCCUCGAGGAUAUUUCAAAGUCGAAUACGCGAUACACGCGAGGAAAAUUUCAAAAGAGACCGUGGUCGUUAAAACGACGAUGAAGUUUCGUAGUCGUUUCGUUCGGGGGAAUCGAAUUCGCAUUGUCUCCCCGAGCGGGAGCAGAAACCGACAACUUUCUCGCGUUUUCUCUUUAAAAGUAACUUUCCUUCCCUUCGAAAUUUAUCGAACGACGUGGCUCGACCGAUCACUCUCUCUCCAAACCUCGAUAUUCGUUUCUUUAGAAAAAAAAAAAGAAAAAGAAAAAAAAAAUUAUAUUACAUUAGACGAUAUGUAGAUCCAUCGUAUCCACGAAGAUUUACCUCGUAAUCCGGUAAAAGUAUGGUAAAGUAACUAAACUAAACUAAUGGUAGCGUGCCCGAUAGCGCCAAUUUCAAGGAGGCAAUAAUCGUAAACCACGGGUCCCUGUAAGUUUUCCAACCCGCCCCGCUCGUUUCGAGGAACGCAUCAAACAGGUGGGACCUUCCGUUUCGGAUUCAACCCUCGUGUAAAAGAAAAAUUAGCCUCACCCGUAUCCCCUUUAUCCUCGACUCACUUUCUUAAAAAAAAAAAAAACAGGCGAAAUUCCAUCAAGAAGUUGCCCGUUAACUUCACGUCUAGGGGAUGGUCUCUCUUUCAUGAUGAUCUUGGAGAAGUUGAUAAGCGGAUGCUCGAAGCGUUCAUCGAGGCGAGAUUGCACCCCAAGGGGGUGCACGAGUAAGUACAAAGUCGACGAAAUUAUGAUAAGUGGGAAGAAAAUCAGUCAUCGGUCGCGAAAGAGGAGGAAGCGGGGAGAAAUAAGACAGGGGAAAAAUCUAGAAGAAAUCUAGGACGAUCGUCGAUAUUCCACGUUCCACCCGUCCGGGUCGGGAAUUUCUAGAAAUUCGACGGUUUUACGUCAAUGGGAUUUUCAUCCCAUUGCCGAGGCAGGAUCAAUAAUAGAGGGGCAAGCGUCUAGACAGGGCCGCAGGGGUUGAAUUUUCGCGUUGACUGUACGCUCUACCCGACUGGCUAACACUGGUGUUAAGUCAAAGGUCUUUCGUGGCGGAUUUAUCGAAGGGUUGUCUUUCAUAGGGGCUGACCUCGACGAGUUAACCAACCUCUCUCUCGCCCGCCCUCGGGCCUUUUUCCUUCCCCGGAAAGCGGGAGGGGAACGCCACAAACGGAGUUUUCCAGCAACGAGCUCGGCCAUCGUCGUUCCCUUCGUCGCUGAGGAACAGCUGUUUCCGAGAAACCGGUUUCCCCGCUCUCUUGCCUAUUUUUACCGGGGGGGCGCCAUCGUGAUUUACUAGUUUCCAAAGUCGUAACCAGUUUCCCUGAUCUCUCUCCUUUCUGCUGACGGCCGAAGAAAACUCGGCGAAAAUGUGUUUGUUUAUUCGACUCGAGGAAUUUGAAUAUUCCUUCGCCCCAUGGAGGAGCAUCGAGAGAUAUCGAGUGUGCGGGGGAUAUAUUAUUAUAGCCGUGCAAGAAGGUCGUGACACGUCGUAUUAAGUCUCCUCGUAACGCCAUCGUGUUCAGGUGACGCUCCGCUCGGCUCGUAUAACGGGCCGAUCUAUGAAAAACGAUCCCGAGGAAUUUAUGUUUCAGCGGUUUUUAAAGCGACGCUUAAUAGCAUGAUGCACGACCCCGGCAUCGAAAUUACGUAACAAAAGUGUUCUGCCUCCGGUGUUUCAAACGACUAUCAAUUACGUUAUCUCUUCUCGACCAAAUAUUAACUAACCAAAUAUUCCCUCUGGAAUCUUUCUUUAAAAUCGAUCCAACGAAUUGACAAAUCGAUGUAUACUGUUCUCGAACGAUCCGUGUAUCGAAAAUAAAUCUCUGCAUAAGUUUCCGCUCACGAGACAACGAAUCGGCCGAUAUUUCCUUACCGUGGAAACGUGUACGAUUAUAUAUCGUAUACACAGGAGGCGAAUCGCAAGAUUGAACAACAUCGAGGUCGCGAUACCGAUGCGGUCGCCACGAUAAAACGCAACCCUGCCUAGCAGGGGAUCGUCUGCGCCGACAACGAACCUUCCUUCCUUCCUUCGUCCUCGAACGAAACGGGACUCGCGUGCACGCGUGUCGUCGACCAGAUUCCUUCCUCCAGAAGAGGGAGGAAUCCGGUGAUCGGAAUCGCGUACAACGACCGGCUGCUUUACGAGCGACUUCCUCCUCGUGUUUACGAGCAGUUCCGCCGUAAAUACGACUGAAUAUAGACACGCGACGAUGCGUCUCUCGUUCGAUAUACGAGGGGUCAACCGGGCGACGGAAAGCUCGCGAUCCUGCACACCCGGUUACCGGAAGUAAGGGUAUUGUAGCCAUCUCCUCCUCGAGUUAUAAAACGAAGAGUGUUUUAUCGGGAGGCACUUUUGUCGAACGUUGACGGAAUAUAAAAAGAGGAAAAAGACUAUGGUGGGACGAUUCGUUGAAAUUGUUUCGACGAACGUUUUAUUAGUUGCGAGAAGGGGUCGAGUCUCGGUCUACCAGGGAGAUGAUAGAAUCGACGUAUUUCACGCAGCCGUUUCUUUCUUUUCUAUUAUUCAUAAUCGAUAUUCUGGCGGAAAUGACGUGCAUCUCGUUGGAUCCAUUCCGUACACACGCCUGCCCUCCCAAUAUGUAUCGGGUUAGCCAAGGUCGGAGGAUGGUCGGCGAAUAGAUCGACGGGAUAGAUCGGCCGCGAGAAAAUUCGCAGUGUAUUCCCGGUGCAAAAAAAAAAGGGACGCAAUUUAGAUGCAAAUUGCAAUCGUAUCGAUGCCUCGAUCGCGAUGCCAGGGCCCUCGAAACCGAUCCACCGUUGUUUUCGUCGAUCCCCCGUCGAUAACUUUUUCCCUUUUCCCCCCUCCCCUUCCGUUCCGCUCUCGAAACGAAGGAUCCUCGCCUUACGAGCGAGCGUAAACUUUUAAACGUAUCCCAGUAUUCAAAUCGCGCCUCCGUAACCGGUGGUUACUUUAACAGCGACGAGGAGAGAUAGCGCUGGUCCGCGGAGUCUCGAACGACUCGGAUGAAGGGAACGACGGAAGGUUUCCACCAUCCACGCCCCCCUUCCUCUCGCCCUCUUUUUCGCCCUUCGAUCCUCCUCUGCUUUUCUCAUCCGCCGCUGGCAAAUAGCUCGUUGGUCCUUUUGGCGUGCGUUCCUGGAGGAAGAGGAGAGGAAAACAUUCACCGGGAAGCGCAUUUUAAAUUCAAACGAGGCCCGAUUACGCCGUAUUCGACCAACGCCCGCUGGAUUACGCGGGUCCCCGACUUUCCUGGGGCGAAACACGGACAACACAGUCUCCUCCUCCUCCUCCUCUUCUUCUUCUUCUUCUUUUUCUCCGUUUCUGCUCGACUUUCCCUCUUCACUCGAGUGGUCCAGGCGACCGGCUAAAAUCGUACGGGUAAUAAUAACGGAAGAGCGGUGACGCGAGAUCCGUGUAGCAAUCGCGCGAUUCGUAUGGCGUUAUAUAUACGUAUAGCUUUCGGUUUCGAGCGGUUCGAGGACCGGUUCUUGUCCAUGGAACGACUGGCAAAGACUACCGCGACGGAGAUGAGUGGAUGUAAAAGGGUCGACGAAGAGGCUGACGAGAGGAUCUUGAAAAACCUACAGCAUUUCUCCUUCCUUCCUUCCUUCCUUCCUUCCUUCCUUCCACCUUCUCGGGAUUCUUUUCUCCUCGAUGGCACCCCUCCACACUCCCCUUGGAUUCGCUCGAUCGAAGAAAUACACUCGUCGAGUCUCUUUCCUGUGGUCUUUGAUGGAUGAUUGUUGGAAAAAAGAGAGAGAGAGAGAGAGAGAGAGGAGAAGGAGAAAGAAAAUUUUUAUCAUCCCGUUGCACGAUUGUAAAUAGCGAAGUCAUAGAACGGAGUGGAACGCUUUAAACGCCGAUCUCGCGGAAAGCGGAUUUUACAGCGAGGCAUUUUACUCGCUGUAAAAUAAGCCACAUUAAAAGGUCGAAGGGCUUUGGUUCGAUGGCCGUGCCGCGAGACGAAAAAGCUUGCAAGGUGGGUUGGAACGGAUUAAUCGGAAGUGCUUUUAGCAAGAAUAAACUAAACGAGUUCGAAGAGGGGGAGAGGAGAGGGGUUGCGUAUACCUCGAUGACGACGAUGUUCGACGAACGCUCGGCGAGGCGACCCGGCCGAAACCCGGGCGAAUGAAAAAAACUUUGCUCGGUUUGAAUCCACGGUAUCAAACGCAGCUCGCCCGAUUACACGGUCGUAAGAAGCGGCCGUUCCAAGCUGGCUAGGUGGAGAUCCCAUUGAAAGCGGUGCGAUUUCAUCUCAAUUAACCGAGUAGACCUGCAACGUAUCACGCCUUCCGGGAUCAAGAUCGUGGCAACGGCCGUAGCGUGGUUUCCGGGCGUGGCCUUCAUCUUCCCGAUUGAUAAACGCCGUUCCCCGCGCGUUUCAAUUAACGAAAUGCCGUUGCACGGCGUGGCUCUUUCUCGUCCAUUGUGCGAGAAGGGAAGAGAGAGGGAGAGACACGAAAGGAAAGGAGGAAGGAAAGGAAAUACGCGCGAAAAGAAAGAAAGAAA